UAAGACGUAGGAGGCGAGCGUUGUCCGGAGUUACUGGGCGUAAAGCGCGCGCAGGCGGCCCUGUACGCUGCCGGUGAAAGCUCCCGGCUCACCUGGGAGAGGUUCGGCAGUACGGCAGGGCUGGAGGGCGGUAGAGGGUGGUGGAAUUCCCGGUGUAGUGGUGAAAUGCGUAGAGAUCGGGAGGAACACCCGUAGCGAAGGCGGCCACCUGGGCCGACCCUGACGCUGAGGCGCGAAGGCCAGGGGAGCGAACGGGAUUAGAUACCCCGGUAGUCCUGGCAGUAAACGAUGUCGACUGGCCGUUGGGGGGCUCGACCCCCUCGGCGGCGGAGCUAACGCGGGAAGUCGACCGCCUGGGGAGUACGGCCGCAAGGCUA
RNAcentral lists this ribosomal RNA (377 nucleotides) under uncultured bacterium. RNAcentral describes it as "bacterial SSU rRNA". It matches the Rfam family "Bacterial small subunit ribosomal RNA", at positions 521 to 896 of the family's 1533-position model. The record is from RNAcentral.